AGGUCAGACCUGAGAAGAUAUACAUGUAAUCAUUGGUAGUGGUGGGAAGAAGGUAAGGAGCAUUAUAGAAGAGACAGGAGUGGAUGCUAUUGACACAGAAGAGGACGGGACUGUGAAAAUCACCUCAAGGGAUUUGUUAAGCUUGGAAAAAGCUAGAGCAAUUAUAAGUAAUAUGACAAUGGUUCCAAGUGUAGGCGAUAUAUAUAGGAACUAUGAGAUCAAGUCAAUAACAAAUUAUGGAGCUUUUGUAGAGAUAGCACCUGGACAGGAGGUACAUUUCGUUCCUCUUUUUAGCCAAGAUAUCUACUCUUCAAUUCCUAUAGAUGGGAUGUGAACUUGGGAAGUGAUAAUGCUCUCUCAUUCUUCUCUUUCAGGGACUUUUCCAUGUUAGUGAGUUGAGUUCGAAUUAUAUAGCAAAGCCAGAAG
Long non-coding RNA from Humulus lupulus (European hop), 426 nucleotides. RefSeq lists it as uncharacterized. The record is from RefSeq and is a predicted model, not a curated record. The transcript has 3 exons. Lineage: Eukaryota; Viridiplantae; Streptophyta; Magnoliopsida; Rosales; Cannabaceae.